AAAAGCUAAUAAGGGCACACGGAGGAUGCCUAGGCAGCAACAGCCGAUGAAGGACGUGAUAAGCUGCGAUAAGCCGGGAGAAGAUGCACAUAAUCAUUGAUCCCCGGAUUUCCGAAUGGGUAAACCUGCAUGCCUGGAGGGCAUGCGUGAAAACGGCAAGCCUGCGAACUGAAACAUCUAAGUAGCAGGAGGAAAAGAAAGUAAAAACGAUUCCCCAAGUAGCGGCGAGCGAACAGGGAAAAGCCUAAACCGUGCCAGUGUCAAGCGGACAGCGUUGCUGGCACGGGGUUGCGGGACUUCCAUUAACGGAUUGUCAUAAUGUUUAAUCUGCAUAUGUGUAAGUGGAACCAGUUGGGAAGCUGGACCGAAGAAGGUGAAAGUCCUGUAGAACAUAAAGCAUAUGUGGAGACUGGAAGCACCCGAGUAGCGUCAGGCACGAGGAAUCUGGCGUGAAUCAGCGUGGACCAAAUCACGUAAGGCUAAAUACUGUUGUUGACCGAUAGUGAAGAGUACCGUGAGGGAAAGGUGAAAAGAACCCUGAGCAAGGGAGUGAAACAGAAUUUGAAACCGUGUGCUUACAAACGGUAGGAGCACAUUAUGUGUGACUGCGUGGAUUUUGGUUAAUCAUCCUGCGAGUUAUGGCUGGUGGCAAGGUUAAUAGACGGAGCCGAAGGGAAACCAAGUCUUAACAGGGCGACAAGUCGCCAGCCAUAGACGCGAAACCUAGUGAUCUAGGCCUGUCCAGGCUGAAGCUGAGGUAAGACUCAGUGGAGGGCCGAACUCACCGCCGUUGAAAAGUUGGGAGAUGAGAUAGGUCUAGGGGUGAAAAGCCAAUCGAACUAGGAGAUAGCUCGUUCUCUCCGAAAUGCAUUUAGGUGCAGCCUUGAACUGAGAUAUGUGGGGGUAGAGCUCUGUAUGAUCUAGGGGGCGUACUGCUUACCGAAAUCAAGCAAACUGCGAAUACCAUAUAUCAUGUUCAGGAGUGAGUCCGUGGAUGACAAGGUCCUCGGACGAGAGGGGAACAGCCCAGACCGCCAGCUAAGGUCCCUAAUUAUGUCUAAGUGGGAAAGGAGGUGGACAUUCAUAGACAACCAGGAGGUUGGCUUAGAAGCAGCCAUGCCUUGAAAGAGUGCGUAAUAGCUCACUGGUCGAGAGUGCCUGCGCCGAAGAUGUAACGGGGCUAAGACAUAAACCGAAGCUGCGGAAGAUACACUGUAUCUUGGUAGGAGAGCGUUCUGUAGGCCGUCGAAGGGAUGCCGCAAGGCCGUCCUGGAGGUAUCAGAAGCGAGAAUGCAGGAAUGAGUAGCGAGAAGGCGGGCGAGAAUCCCGCCGGCCGGAAGUCCAAGGUUUCCAGGGGAAGGUUUGUCCGCCCUGGGGAAGUCGGGACCUAAGCAUAAGCAAAAUUGUGAUGGCGAAUGGAAAACAGGUUAAUAUUCCUGUACCGCUGUUAUCGCUUGAGAGACGGAGUGACGCAGGAAGGUAUGCGAGAAGGCUGACGGUUUAGCCUUUCUAAGGGCCCAGCGUGGGCGUGCAGGCAAAUCCGCACGCCUAAACGUGAGACCUGACGGGGAAGUGCAUUUGCAUAAGUCGCAGAUCCUACACUGCCAAGAAAAACUUCUAUCGAUGAGAACCAGCGCCCGUACUGUAAACCGACACAGGUGGACAGAGUGAGAAACUUAAGGCCGACAGGAUAACUCUAGCUAAGGAACUCUGCAAAAUAGCCCCGUAACUUCGGGAGAAGGGGUGCCUGACAUACCUGAAGGAGAGAAGCGCUCCCAGGGGAAACAGGCCGCAGUGAAGAGUCUCAAGCAACUGUUUACCAAAAACACAGGUCUAUGCUAAGCUGAAAGGCGACGUAUAUGGGCUGACACCUGCCCAGUGCCGGAAGGUUAAGAGGAGGAGUGAGAGCUCCGAUUUGAAGCCCCGGUGAACGGCGGCCGUAACUAUAACGGUCCUAAGGUAGCGAAAUUCCUUGUCGGGUAA
Molecule: ribosomal RNA, 1983 nt
Filed under: human metagenome
Description: bacterial LSU rRNA
Rfam family: Bacterial large subunit ribosomal RNA
Source: RNAcentral